RNAcentral lists this ribosomal RNA (1104 nucleotides) under uncultured Planktomarina sp. RNAcentral describes it as "bacterial SSU rRNA". It matches the Rfam family "Bacterial small subunit ribosomal RNA", at positions 340 to 1484 of the family's 1533-position model. Lineage: Bacteria; Pseudomonadati; Pseudomonadota; Alphaproteobacteria; Rhodobacterales; Paracoccaceae. The record is from RNAcentral.
UAGGGGGGGCAGGGGUUGGUUUUUUUAAGCAGGGGGGGCCACCCUUUUUCAACCCAAGCGGGGGGUUUGAAAAACGCCCCAGGGUUUAAAAAGCCUUUUCCCCAAAAAGAUAAACCCAUUUUUGGAAAAGAACCCCGGCUAACUCCGGGCAAGCACCCCUUUUAUUCGGAGGGGGUUAACUUUAUUGGGAAUUACUGGGCGUAAAGCGCACGUAGGCGGAUUAGUAAGUUAGAGGUGAAAUCCCAGGGCUCAACCCUGGAACUGCCUUUAAUACUGCUAGUCUUGAGUUCGAGAGAAGUAAGUGGAAUUCCGAGUGUAGAGGUGAAAUUUGUAGAUAUUCGGAGGAACACCAGUGGCGAAGGCGGCUUACUGGCUCGAUACUGACGCUGAGGUGCGAAAGUGUGGGGAGCAAACUGGAUUAGAUACCCUGGUCGUCCACACCGUAAACGAUGAAUGCCAGACGUCAGCAAGUAUACUUGUUGGUGUCACACCUAACGGAUUAAGCAUUCCGCUUGGGGAGUACGGUCGCAAGAUUAAAACUCAAAGGAAUUGACGGGCGCCCGCACAAGCGGUGGAGCAUGUGGUUUAAUUCGAAGCAACGCGCAGAACCUUACCAACCCUUGACAUCCUGUGCCACUACCAGAGAUGGUACGUUCCCUUCGGGGACGCAGUGACAGGUGCUGCAUGGCUGUCGUCAGCUCGUGUCGUGAGAUGUUCGGUUAAGUCCGGCAACGAGCGCAACCCACAUCCUUAGUUGCCAGCAGGUUAAGCUGGGCACUCUAGAGAAACUGCCCGUGAUAAGCGGGAGGAAGGUGUGGAUGACGUCAAGUCCUCAUGGCCCUUACGGGUUGGGCUACACACGUGCUACAAUGGCAGUGACAAUGGGUUAAUCCCCAAAAGCUGUCUCAGUUCGGAUUGGGGUCUGCAACUCGACCCCAUGAAGUCGGAAUCGCUAGUAAUCGCGUAACAGCAUGACGCGGUGAAUACGUUCCCGGGCCUUGUGCACACCGCCCGUCACACCAUGGGAGUUGGUUCUACCCGACGGCGCUGCGCUAACCCUUCGGGGAGGCAGGCGGCCACGGUAGGAUCAGCGACUGGGGUGAA